Molecule: ribosomal RNA, 1398 nt
Filed under: uncultured bacterium
Lineage: Bacteria
Description: 16S ribosomal RNA
Rfam family: Bacterial small subunit ribosomal RNA
Source: RNAcentral
UUAGAGUUUGAUCCUGGCUCAGGAUGAACGCUAGCGGCAGGCUUAACACAUGCAAGUCGAGGGGCAGCGAGAUCAGUGCUUGCACUGAUUGUCGGCGACCGGCGCACGGGUGCGUAACGCGUAUGCAACCUACCCAUUACAGGGGGAUAACACUGAGAAAUCGGUACUAAUACCCCAUAACAUCCAGGGAGGCAUCUUCUUGGGUUGAAAACUCCGGUGGUAAUGGAUGGGCAUGCGUUGUAUUAGUUAGUUGGUGGGGUAACGGCUCACCAAGACAACGAUACAUAGGGGGACUGAGAGGUUAACCCCCCACAUUGGUACUGAGACACGGACCAAACUCCUACGGGAGGCAGCAGUGAGGAAUAUUGGUCAAUGGACGCAAGUCUGAACCAGCCAUGCCGCGUGCAGGAAGACGGCUCUAUGAGUUGUAAACUGCUUUUGUACGAGGGUAAACGCAGAUACGCGUAUCUGUCUGAAAGUAUCGUACGAAUAAGGAUCGGCUAACUCCGUGCCAGCAGCCGCGGUAAUACGGAGGAUUCAAGCGUUAUCCGGAUUUAUUGGGUUUAAAGGGUGCGUAGGCGGUCGGAUAAGUUAGAGGUGAAAUCCCGGGGCUCAACUUCGGAAUUGCCUCUGAUACUGUUCGGCUAGAGAGUAGUUGCGGUAGGCGGAAUGUAUGGUGUAGCGGUGAAAUGCUUAGAGAUCAUACAGAACACCGAUUGCGAAGGCAGCUUACCAAGCUACUUCUGACGUUGAGGCACGAAAGCGUGGGGAGCAAACAGGAUUAGAUACCCUGGUAGUCCACGCAGUAAACGAUGAUAACUCGUUGUCGGCGAUACAGUGUCGGUGACUAAGCGAAAGCGAUAAGUUAUCCACCUGGGGAGUACGUUCGCAAGAAUGAAACUCAAAGGAAUUGACGGGGGCCCGCACAAGCGGAGGAACAUGUGGUUUAAUUCGAUGAUACGCGAGGAACCUUACCCGGGCUUGAAAGUUAGUGACGGAUCUUGAAAGAGGUCUUCCCUUCGGGGCACGAAACUAGGUGCUGCAUGGUUGUCGUCAGCUCGUGCCGUGAGGUGUCGGGUUAAGUCCCAUAACGAGCGCAACCCCUACCGUUAGUUGCCAGCAGGUCAAGCUGGGCACUCUGACGGGACUGCCGGUGUAAGCCGAGAGGAAGGUGGGGAUGACGUCAAAUCAGCACGGCCCUUACGUCCGGGGCUGCACACGUGUUACAAUGGCAGGUACAGAGGGCAGCUACCCAGCGAUGGGAUGCGAAUCUCGAAAGCCUGUCUCAGUUCGGAUUGGAGGCUGAAACCCGCCUCCAUGAAGUUGGAUUCGCUAGUAAUCGCGCAUCAGCCAUGGCGCGGUGAAUACGUUCCCGGGCCUUGCACUCAACGCCCGUCA